This 440-nucleotide ribosomal RNA is filed under the name uncultured bacterium. RNAcentral describes it as "partial 16S ribosomal RNA". It matches the Rfam family "Bacterial small subunit ribosomal RNA", at positions 338 to 795 of the family's 1533-position model. The record is from RNAcentral.
CCUACGGGAGUCAGCAGUGGGGGCUAUUGCACAAUGGGGGGAACCCUGAUGCAGCGACGCCGCGUGGGUGAAGAAGCGCCUCGGCGCGUAAAGCCCUGUCAGCAGGGAAGAAAAUGACGGUACCUGAAGAAGAAGCCCCGGCUAACUACGUGCCAGCAGCCGCGGUAAUACGUAGGGGGCAAGCGUUAUCCGGAUUUACUGGGGGUAAAGGGGGCGUAGGCGGCGGUGCAAGCCAGGAGUGAGAGCCCGGGGCCGAACCCCGGGACUGCUCUUGGAACUGCGUGGCUGGAGUGCAGGAGGGGCAGGCGGAAUUCCUGGUGUAGCGGUGAAAGGCGUAGAUAUCAGGAGGAACACCGGUGGCGAAGGCGGCCUGCUGGACUGCAACUGACGUUGAGGCCCGAAAGCGUGGGUAGCAAACAGGAUUAGAUGCCCGUGUAGUC